Non-coding RNA from Ictidomys tridecemlineatus (thirteen-lined ground squirrel), 6464 nucleotides. Lineage: Eukaryota; Metazoa; Chordata; Mammalia; Rodentia; Sciuridae. The record is from RefSeq and is a predicted model, not a curated record.
CUCAUGAAAAUGAGGGAAGGGGCCAGGGAAGGGAGGAGGGGGAAGAAAGGGGAGAUACUGGGGAUGGCAUCGCUCAGAUCUUAUGGUCAUAUCGUGUGCAUGUAUGAAUAGGUAGCAAUGAGCCCUGUCAUCACGUACAACUGCAAUACACCAACAGAAAUCAUGCUGUGUAACAAACAGCACGGACUCUCAGUGGCGUGCAACAGUAUGUGUUUAUUUCCCCUGUGUCCAGAGGGUGGUGAGGUGGCUUUGCUGACCUUCGCUGGGCUCACAUAUCUGGGGGUUGGCUGUCUGUCAGGUGACCUGGGAUGGUCUUGACUCAGUGCCCUGGGAAACUCAGCUCUGACCUGUGCAUCUCUUAUCUUUCAUCGAGCUAACUCGACCGGGUUCUCCUGGUGGUGGAAGAGGACGAGGCCUAAGAGAGCUAGCAGAAACACCAGGGCUUCACGUGCUGGCCAAGGAAAGUCACGUAGCUGCGUUCAGCAUCCAGGCUUGGGGAGAUGCACUUCACUCCCUUUGCUGAUGAAGUUGCAAUCACCCAGCAAAGGGUGUAGAACUCAGGCACAUGGCCACAUCUAACAGCAGGAAAGCUCGGAAAUAGUUAGCUACGUGAUGACUGUGGAUCAAAGGGAAGGGCCACAUCAUGGUAAGUCCUGGGCAGCCUAGGUACGUACUAGAUGACAAUGUGUGGAGGGAGGAAGGUGGAGGAGAGGAGCCACGGCGUGAGAGUGUCCAAGGGAAUGUGUAGACCUGACGUCUAGAACAGACUCGGCACCUUCUCUACCCAGCAGGCUGAAUGGCCAUUGCGGAUUAUCAAGUUAAGGAUUUAAAUCUGGUUUUGUCAGAUUUGAGUCCCAUUUUUGAGCUUAAAAACCCUUGAUAAACCCUUAAGGAUAAAUUCUAAGUGUCAGUGACUUAAGUCCUCCGUCAGUCUGACCGACCUUGUGUACUUCGCCUUCCCACUUGCUUUUUACUCAGCUCUGAUGGUCUUUUUAAUUUGCCUAGAGGGAAGGAUCUUUCAUCGUGCUAUUCAUCGUGCUGUUCCUCCAUCUCUUGGGCCCUCUUCUCUGAAACACUUCUAACCCUUUCCUUCUUGACUCAGAUUUUCUUAUUCUUCAGUUCUCAGCCUAAACAUUAUAUCCUAAUAUAAGCCAAAGACAGGUUCAAAGCUAAGACACUAAACUACUGAUCCAAGGGACUGAGAAAACACUAAGGAAGGUAGGUAACCCCCCCCACACACACACACACUCAAGCCACUGAAACGCAAAGGCACGAGGUAUCCUGGAAGACGAGUGGAGGAAAAAGACCAACCAAGAUGACAGAUACGGCAGACUUCUUGCUGGAAACUAUGCAGGCCAGAAGACAAUGGAGUGCACACUUACAGUGUUAAGAGAAAAACUGUCCACCCAGAAUUAUAUAACCAGAAAACGGUAAAAAUGAGGGAGCUUUCAACCUCAUCAGACAACAGGAUGGAAACAGCAAUCUUGCCACAAGACUUGCACCUACCAAGUGCCAGGUGUUUUAUUAGGCAGACAAAAAUGACACUGGAUACCUAGUUAGAGAAGCAGCAGAGAGCACCCCUGUGGAGUGAAGGAAGGGAGUGUAGACGCAUCAUUGCUUCAUUUUCCUCUUUGGUUCCUGCUCUUUCUGAAACUCCACUGUAUGCGUAUCAAACCAGCACGGCCGCAGGCGCCUGGAGCUGUGCUCUCUGGUUCUGUUCACCUGCUCCUUUAUGUUUGGGUCUCAGUUUGGGUAAUUUCUGUUGGUCUGUCUUAACUUUCCUUGAGAAUUUCAAGUCUAAGGAGCCUGCUGACUGCAUUAUCCAUCUGCUGCUGUGUGUCUGGUUCUGCUCAUUGCUUUACAUCUCAGCACUGUUAUUGUUUUCCUUGUUGUUGUUGUGUGAGUUUUUUUUUAUACACCUUACAUUUUUUUUUUUUUUUGCAAAAGUCAAAUAUCUUAUGUAGGGCGGUAGGGACUGAGUUAAAUAGUGGCUAUGCCUAGAAUCGUCAUGUUUUCUUAUUCCUGGACUUUAAUGUGGGGGAUGAGUCAACCUACUCGGGAGCUGAACCAGUUUGGGGGUUUCUGUGGCUGUGGUCAUCCUCAAUGUGGUUUCUGCAGCCUCACCCCAGACUUGCGAAUCCAAAGGUUCGAAUUCCUCUUGUGUUUGGACCAGGGCUGACUUACUGGCCUCUGCUUCAGGCCUGGCUGUGCCUCAGCGGGGUCGCCCCUGCCCUCACACCUCUCAGCAGAAGACCACUGUUACCCGUCCACAGAUGCUCGCUGUGGCCUAGUGCUGGAGAGAGCGGGGUGAGCCUUCUUGUGGCGGCCUAUUGUCCUUCUGGGUCUCAGUGGCCACCUUUCAACUCAGCUCUGGGCUGAGGCUUGGAGGACAUCCCUGCUUCUUCCCGGGCUGCAGACUUGCCACCUCCACUCCCCCUUCUCUCAGUUGCAGUGGCUCUUUCACCUGCACUCGGGAGUGAGGGUGUCUGUUCUCCACCAACACUUCAAGGUCUUUCUCUGUAGGAGAGAUGGAGGGCAGGACCCAGUGCUGCUCCCUGCAUCUGUCACAGCCACGGCUCCUCUUCCCAAGGCCUGCAGUGCCUGGGCUGCAACUUGCUCCUCAUCUGCCCUGUGUGUACCCAACGAGGUCCAUGGAAAAAAGCCCGUGAGAGGGUGUCAAACUCUGUGCUGUGGCUUGGUAGUCUCUUGCUAGUUGGGCAUUUGUCUCUGGCUAGUUUGAUUGAUGGUCUCUUCCUGGCCUGAGCUGUACCCUUCGCAAUCUGUUAAAAGUCGUAGCUGAAUUUUUCCUCUCUGCGGCUGGUGGCCUCUGCCCUGGUGACCACAUGUCUGUGCCUUUGUCUCCGUGGGGGUGCUGUGUUUUAGGUCUUGGCUCCGCGGGUUGCCCUUCAGCCUCAGCUCUAUGGGGGACUCAGGAAAGCUCAGAUUGUCCAGCUUUAUGUAUUUUUUUGGUGUAAGGAUAGGAGCAAUGUUCUUGGUUUCCGACAUCCUGAGUGGGAAAAUAACAUGUAAUUCUUAAAGGAUCGUUCAGCUCUCUUCCUAGUUCGCCAGGUUCAGACAGUUUUUCUCCUAGUGCCAUGCCCAGGCCAUCUGUCAUCAGAAUGCUAAGCUUAUUAAAAAUGCGGAUCCUGAAGCCUCACCCCAGACUUGCAAAUCCAAAAGCCUAAGGAGCAUUCAUUUUAUCAAGCUUGCAAGGUGAUACUUCUGCAUUUUCAAGUUUGAAAACUGUUGGAUUCCAAAUGAGCCAUGUUGGGGCUCAGAGCCUGAUACCCCAAGGUGCUGAGCACUCUGGGCUGAAGGACACUGGGAGGUCUCAGAAGCAAGGUCUCUCUGACCUCCCACCCUCUGGUCUCCUGCACCUCCAGCCCAAAGAGCAAGGCUUAGAAACUCUUCUUGGUACACGUCUUUCCCAGGAAGACUUCCUUUACAAAAGGGCAGCUUUGCCAAGCUGCUCCUGUGUCUGCAGUUUCUCAAAAUAACCAGCUGGAGACAGUCACUAUACCGAGGAGGUUGAUUUUAGGGUGGAAUGCUCUGUCUCCUCGGUCAUAUUUUGGGGUGGUAGGUUUUGCCCUACCAUAGACAUUUUUUUUGCUAAUCCCCUUAAAUCUCAUAAUAAACGCACAAGUAGACACCAUGCAUCCUCUUCAUAGAUGGAGUUUUGUCUUGAAGAGGUCCUGACUUGCCGGGGGUCCGAGGCUCCCAUGUGGCAGGAGGAGGACUGAGUUCAGGAGGCCGGACGGGAAUCCCAGGGCUGUGCCAGAAUGGAGUCAGAUUCACGUGGUUAGACUCCAUCCUCGACAGGCUGUUCAGGGCGUUAGCAUGUUUGCAAGGCUGUGUACCAAAUCCACACUUCGCUUCCCUGCCCUGAAAACAAGCCCCACCCCCAUUGGCAGCUGCUGCCCAGUUCCGCCCCCUCUAGGCCCUGGAGGGCUGGACAUGUGGGCAUGUCCCUACAGGACAUCUCAGGUCAUUGCAUCGUGUGGUUCAUGGACGUCUGGGUCUGGCGUUUCCACCUAGUAAGGCAGAGGCCUCAACCACUGCAUUAGGAUGGGAAUUUUAUCAACUUGGAUGAAAGGACUAACUCCAUUCAGCUUGCUCAUGGGGAAGGAGACAGGAUGACCAUUCCAUCCCACUUAACCAGGACUUAGAGUGUCCCGCGAGCCAGCCCAGAGCUGGGCCCUCUGCUAGGGUUGGUGCAUACCACAGUUACCCCAGAGUGGGACCAACAGGUCUGUGGGGUUCUCUCCCUGAGUCCUGCACACCUACGAAGCUCUUCAGGCCAUCAGGAUGUCAGUGGCCAGGGGCCUGCUGACCAGCUCUGCUGGAGGCAGUGCUUCUCUUUCCCUGCAGAGGCCACGCUGGAGCUGCAGGUGAGAUCUAGACUGAAGCUCACAGUGGGCCUGGGGUGGGCCAGAGAGGCGCCUCCUGAGAGGCUCCCGGGCCAUGGACAGGCUGUUCCGGGGGCCGCCUGCUGAGGGGCAAGGGCUCAGACACACAAGGUCACAGAGCGACAAGCCAUGGCUCUUGCUUAAGGAGCUUACUGUAGAGUGCAGGAGCGCUCAUGUAGCACACCAUGCCCAGCCAAGCGGCUCCGGUCCUAGUGACGACCCAGAUGUGUUCUGGGGGAGCCGCCACCUCUGGUUGAUGAGGAGACAUCCAGAAAAAAUAAAGUUUUUGCAUUUAUGAAACUGUUCAUCAAGAUGGGAAAACGUGUUAUGUAUGGGACACACAGUUCCAUCCAAAUGGUUAAUAUCUUUAGAAAAAAUGGAAGCUAAAGAGGUGGGCCCUAAUUUUCCAGAAUAUUCACUGACGUGGAAAACUUCAUUUCCUGAUAAUGCCGGGUAAAUCUGUGUUUUGAGGGCACUCCAUAUGUUUCCAGUGCUUAGGAAUCAUUUGGUUUUAUUAUCCUCAUUAACAGGCAUAAUGGCGGCUUUUUAACAGUCAUGAUCACCAUCUGGAGCCUGGAAGCCGUAGUGUGAGGCUCAGGUGGAAGGAGCGGUGCUGCCUGGGCCCGCCCUGUGUUGGCGGGGCUGCCAGGUCCCCAGGGCCGCAGCGAGCUGGACAGAAGGGGCACAGCAGAAGAGCUCCGCGCUCAGGGCCCACUGUCUCCAGAGUGUGCCGUGAUCUCAUUCUAACCUUAGUUGCUGAGUGGUGGUCCACAGUGCUCUCCUGUCUGUGCUGCUGACCCCUGACCUGCUGUUGGCAUGGUGACCAGCGGGCAGUGUGACAGCAUCACUGCUCUCCCUGCUCUCAGAGCCAACUGGACUUGAGCCCUGGGCGUCUUCCCUGAGCCUCGCAGGGAGGGGUUGCCUUGUGGGGACAGGUGGCCAGACCACUCAGUGCCAGGUAACCAUAGCAGCCUGAUUUCGGCUGCCUGAAAGAAUUCCCCACGCAAAGACACUUCGCCGGGAGAAUUCCAAUUUUAUUGCAAAAAGCUGUGUGCUUAUAUAGAACUAAAGGGGAGAUGGCAGGGCUUAGAUAAAUGGCAGGCCACCCGUUUAUUGGCAAGUUCUUCCAGAUAUCAGCUCCCGCGCCCAGGAAUUAAUUCUCAUUGGGGCUAAGGUUCCCCGCCAGCGAGAUUUGAAAUUGGCGCCAGCGGGAGAGUUCACAAGGGCGGGAACUUUUCGCGCCACUGCAGAGAAGAAGUUCUUAGGCGCCAUGUUGGGGUUUUUUCUCUGGGGUAUGGCUGCCGUUUAUACUUUUCCCAACACUGCCCUCCUGGGUUCUGCAGGGCUCCUCCUCACGCUGACCCCAGCCUGUAACCCAGCAGCAUGGAGACCAGCUCGUGUGUUUCACAGGGCGGUGAAUCACUUCCGGGCGUGGUGGCCGGGCAGGGUGCUGUGGGGCAGAGCGAAUGAACAGGACGGAGAGGCCACCAGACUGGGGCUCGCAGCCCUGGUGCCACAGAAAGCCUGGCCAGUUCCAGGGGAAGAGACAACACGGGAGUCGGGUCGCGCUGCCCUCCCGAGCCCCAGCCUCUCCUCCUGCCGCCCUCCCUCCCUGUCCACGUGAACGCCUCACUGCACACCGUUCUCAGGAGCCAUGAGUGCCAUCAGGGGUGCCGGAGGAAGGACGGCUUGGGGCCAAGAGCAGACACGGAAACACAGUGCACUUCAUACCAAGGAGCAGGGGGAUGCCCGUCCAGCCGCCCUGCCCUCCUGCCCCCGCCAACAUGGUGCCCAGCUGGGGAAGGCGGCCGCUACAGCUUAAGAAUGAGGACUGUUUCCCACCGAGGGGAGGAAGACUGGUGCUCCCCGACGUGUAUGUGUGUGUGUGUGUGUGUGUGAACAAGAACAAGAGCAAAAACCCCAAAGGGGGUCUACAGCAAAAGCGGUCUGUCCACCUGGGCACCUUCAGAGCUUUUGUCCCAUGGCUACGUACGUCCUAACACCUGUCACCGAGGAGGCCCAGGUUAAUUGAGAAAUAAAGUUCUACUGCAUUUUGAA